RNAcentral lists this ribosomal RNA (417 nucleotides) under Bacillus sp. DJ1. RNAcentral's name for it is "bacterial SSU rRNA". It matches the Rfam family "Bacterial small subunit ribosomal RNA", at positions 54 to 459 of the family's 1533-position model. The record is from RNAcentral. Lineage: Bacteria; Bacillati; Bacillota; Bacilli; Caryophanales; Bacillaceae.
CAUGCAAGUCGAGCGAAUGGAUUAAGAGCUUGCUCUUAUGAAGUUAGCGGCGGACGGGUGAGUAACACGUGGGUAACCUGCCCAUAAGACUGGGAUAACUCCGGGAAACCGGGGCUAAUACCGGAUAACAUUUUGAACCGCAUGGUUCGAAAUUGAAAGGCGGCUUCGGCUGUCACUUAUGGAUGGACCCGCGUCGCAUUAGCUAGUUGGUGAGGUAACGGCUCACCAAGGCAACGAUGCGUAGCCGACCUGAGAGGGUGAUCGGCCACACUGGGACUGAGACACGGCCCAGACUCCUACGGGAGGCAGCAGUAGGGAAUCUUCCGCAAUGGACGAAAGUCUGACGGAGCAACGCCGCGUGAGUGAUGAAGGCUUUCGGGUCGUAAAACUCUGUUGUUAGGGAAGAACAAGUGCUAG